GGGACACGUGGUAUCCUGUCUGAAUAUGGGGGGACCAUCCUCCAAGGCUAAAUACUCCUGACUGACCGAUAGUGAACCAGUACCGUGAGGGAAAGGCGAAAAGAACCCCGGCGAGGGGAGUGAAAAAGAACCUGAAACCGUGUACGUACAAGCAGUGGGAGCCUCUUAAUGGGGUGACUGCGUACCUUUUGUAUAAUGGGUCAGCGACUUAUAUUCUGUAGCAAGGUUAACCGAAUAGGGGAGCCGAAGGGAAACCGAGUCUUAACUGGGCGUUAAGUUGCAGGGUAUAGACCCGAAACCCGGUGAUCUAGCCAUGGGCAGGUUGAAGGUUGGGUAACACUAACUGGAGGACCGAACCGACUAAUGUUGAAAAAUUAGCGGAUGACUUGUGGCUGGGGGUGAAAGGCCAAUCAAACCGGGAGAUAGCUGGUUCUCCCCGAAAGCUAUUUAGGUAGCGCCUCGUGAAUUCAUCUCCGGGGGUAGAGCACUGUUUCGGCAAGGGGGUCAUCCCGACUUACCAACCCGAUGCAAACUGCGAAUACCGGAGAAUGUUAUCACGGGAGACACACGGCGGGUGCUAACGUCCGUCGUGAAGAGGGAAACAACCCAGACCGCCAGCUAAGGUCCCAAAGUCAUGGUUAAGUGGGAAACGAUGUGGGAAGGCCCAGACAGCCAGGAUGUUGGCUUAGAAGCAGCCAUCAUUUAAAGAAAGCGUAAUAGCUCACUGGUCGAGUCGGCCUGCGCGGAAGAUGUAACGGGGCUAAACCAUGCACCGAAGCUGCGGCAGCGACACUAUGUGUUGUUGGGUAGGGGAGCGUUCUGUAAGCCUGUGAAGGUGUGCUGUGAGGCAUGCUGGAGGUAUCAGAAGUGCGAAUGCUGACAUAAGUAACGAUAAAGCGGGUGAAAAGCCCGCUCGCCGGAAGACCAAGGGUUCCUGUCCAACGUUAAUCGGGGCAGGGUGAGUCGACCCCUAAGGCGAGGCCGAAAGGCGUAGUCGAUGGGAAACAGGUUAAUAUUCCUGUACUUGGUGUUACUGCGAAGGGGGGACGGAGAAGGCUAUGUUGGCCGGGCGACGGUUGUCCCGGUUUAAGCGUGUAGGCUGGUUUUCCAGGCAAAUCCGGAAAACCAAGGCUGAGGCGUGAUGACGAGGCACUACGGUGCUGAAGCGACAAAUGCCCUGCUUCCAGGAAAAGCCUCUAAGCAUCAGGUAACAUCAAAUCGUACCCCAAACCGACACAGGUGGUCAGGUAGAGAAUACCAAGGCGCUUGAGAGAACUCGGGUGAAGGAACUAGGCAAAAUGGUGCCGUAACUUCGGGAGAAGGCACGCUGAUAUGUAGGUGAAGCGACUUGCUCGUGGAGCUGAAAUCAGUCGAAGAUACCAGCUGGCUGCAACUGUUUAUUAAAAACACAGCACUGUGCAAACACGAAAGUGGACGUAUACGGUGUGACGCCUGCCCGGUGCCGGAAGGUUAAUUGAUGGGGUUAGCGGUAACGCGAAGCUCUUGAUCGAAGCCCCGGUAAACGGCGGCCGUAACUAUAACGGUCCUAAGGUAGCGAAAUUCCUUGUCGGGUAAGUUCCGACCUGCACGAAUGGCGUAAUGAUGGCCAGGCUGUCUCCACCCGAGACUCAGUGAAAUUGAACUCGCUGUGAAGAUGCAGUGUACCCGCGGCAAGACGGAAAGACCCCGUGAACCUUUACUAUAGCUUGACACUGAACAUUGAGCCUUGAUGUGUAGGAUAGGUGGGAGGCUUUGAAGUGUGGACGCCAGUCUGCAUGGAGCCGACCUUGAAAUACCACCCUUUAAUGUUUGAUGUUCUAACGUUGGCCCGUAAUCCGGGUUGCGGACAGUGUCUGGUGGGUAGUUUGACUGGGGCGGUCUCCUCCUAAAGAGUAACGGAGGAGCACGAAGGUUGGCUAAUCCUGGUCGGACAUCAGGAGGUUAGUGCAAUGGCAUAAGCCAGCUUGACUGCGAGCGUGACGGCGCGAGCAGGUGCGAAAGCAGGUCAUAGUGAUCCGGUGGUUCUGAAUGGAAGGGCCAUCGCUCAACGGAUAAAAGGUACUCCGGGGAUAACAGGCUGAUACCGCCCAAGAGUUCAUAUCGACGGCGGUGUUUGGCACCUCGAUGUCGGCUCAUCACAUCCUGGGGCUGAAGUAGGUCCCAAGGGUAUGGCUGUUCGCCAUUUAAAGUGGUACGCGAGCUGGGUUUAGAACGUCGUGAGACAGUUCGGUCCCUAUCUGCCGUGGGCGCUGGAGAACUGAGGGGGGCUGCUCCUAGUACGAGAGGACCGGAGUGGACGCAUCACUGGUGUUCGGGUUGUCAUGCCAAUGGCACUGCCCGGUAGCUAAAUGCGGAAGAGAUAAGUGCUGAAAGCAUCUAAGCACGAAACUUGCCCCGAGAUGAGUUCUCCCUGAGACUUAGAGUCUCCUGAAGGAACGUUGAAGACGACGACGUUGAUAGGCCGGGUGUGUAAGCGCAGCGAUGCGUUGAGCUAACCGGUACUAAUGAACCGUGAGGCUUAACCUUACAACGCCGAAG
RNAcentral lists this ribosomal RNA (2538 nucleotides) under Escherichia coli. RNAcentral describes it as "bacterial LSU rRNA". It matches the Rfam family "Bacterial large subunit ribosomal RNA", at positions 419 to 2925 of the family's 2925-position model. The record is from RNAcentral. Lineage: Bacteria; Pseudomonadati; Pseudomonadota; Gammaproteobacteria; Enterobacterales; Enterobacteriaceae.